RNAcentral lists this ribosomal RNA (468 nucleotides) under uncultured bacterium. Its description in RNAcentral is "partial 16S ribosomal RNA". It matches the Rfam family "Bacterial small subunit ribosomal RNA", at positions 28 to 507 of the family's 1533-position model. The record is from RNAcentral.
GACGAACGCUGGCGGCGUGCUUAACACAUGCAAGUCGAACGGAAAGGCCCUGCUUUUGUGGGUUGCUCGAGUGGCGAACGUGUGUGGAACACGUGAGUAACCUGCCCUUGACUUCGGGAUAACUUCAGGAAACUGGGGCUACUACCGGAUAGGAGCUCCUGCUGCUCGGUGGGGGUUGGAAAGUUUCGGCGGUUGGGGUUGGACUCGCGGCUUAUCAGCUUGUUGGUGGGGUAGUGGCUUACCAAGUCUUUGACGGGUAGCCGGCCUGAGAGGUUGACCGGCCACCUUGGGACUGAGGUACGGCCCAGACUCGUACGGGAGGCAGUAGUGGGGAAUAUUGCACAGUGAGCGGAAGCGUGAUGCAGCGACGCCGGGUGCGGGAUGACGGCUUUCGGGUUGUAAACCGCUUUCGCCUGUGACGAAGCGUGAGUGACGGUAAUGGGUAAAGAAGCACCGGCUAACUACGUG